RNAcentral lists this ribosomal RNA (347 nucleotides) under uncultured bacterium. RNAcentral describes it as "bacterial SSU rRNA". It matches the Rfam family "Bacterial small subunit ribosomal RNA", at positions 28 to 354 of the family's 1533-position model. The record is from RNAcentral.
GACGAACGCUGGCGGCGUGCCUAACACAUGCAAGUCGAGCGGGGAUUUACGAAUGAAGUUUUCGGAUGGAUUUGUAAGUUCUAGCGGCGGACGGGUGAGUAACGCGUGAGCAACCUGCCUAUCACUGGGGAAUAACGCAUCGAAAGGUGUGCUAAUACCGCAUGAGACCACAUGAUCGCAUGGUCGAGGGGUCAAAGAUUUAUCGGUGAUAGAUGGGCUCGCGUCUGAUUAGCUAGUUGGGGUGUAAUGGACCACCAAGGCGACGAAUCAGUAGCUGGUUUGAGAGGAUGAUCAGCCACAAUGGGACGUGAGACACGGCCCACUAAUCCUACCGGGAGGGCGAGCAG